This 85-nucleotide transfer RNA is filed under the name Candidatus Cloacimonadota bacterium. Its description in RNAcentral is "Candidatus Cloacimonetes bacterium (wastewater metagenome) tRNA-Ser". It matches the Rfam family "tRNA". From Rfam's summary of the family: Transfer RNA (tRNA) molecules are approximately 80 nucleotides in length. Their secondary structure includes four short double-helical elements and three loops (D, anti-codon, and T loops). The record is from RNAcentral. Lineage: Bacteria; Pseudomonadati; Candidatus Cloacimonadota.
GGAGACUUGGCCGAGCGGCUUAAGGCGCACGAUUGCUAAUCGUGUGUGGGGCAACCUACCAUGGGUUCAAAUCCCAUAGUCUCCG